This is a long non-coding RNA of Lycium barbarum (goji berry), 1915 nucleotides long. RefSeq lists it as uncharacterized. The transcript is spliced from 2 exons. The record is from RefSeq and is a predicted model, not a curated record. Lineage: Eukaryota; Viridiplantae; Streptophyta; Magnoliopsida; Solanales; Solanaceae.
UAAGAUUAUAAAAUCAUCAUACUAAACUUGAAGUCUUCACUACUUCAUUCUUGAAAUCUGUAAAAGAAAUUGGAGAAAUUAAGGACUUAGAAAAGAGGCUGUUUUGUUCCUAUAAUUCUAAGGCUAUCAGGUUAGAUCUUUUUGUGUUUAAUCAAGUGAAAUUGUUUCAAGAGAUUAUAAAGAUGUUUUAAUGUCGAUUUUGUGCAAAUUAAAUGAUGGAAAUUGUAGAAUUUACCUCAGAAAUCUAGUUUGAAAGAGUUCUGUUCAUGUUUCUAAGCCGAAUCUGUUUCAAUUGUUAGCUAUUAAUCUCUCUUCUUGCUUGUAAAUCAUGUUGACUAUAUGAUUAUUCAAAGAUUGUAGCUUAUUAAUGUUUCCAGAUUGUAGUUUUUCUGAAAAUAAGAAGUUUGAAAUUUCCAGUUAGACCAAAAGUAAGCAAAAAUUAGUGAUAGAAAUGUACAUCACCUGCUGAAUUAAUAUACCAAAGUUAGAACGUGUCCAUGUAUUUAGCUGAGUUACAUCAGUAAGUAGUGAUUCAGAUAUACAUCACAGAAAUUUAGUAUUAUAUUAGUACAGUCCUCACAUUGUUCUUGUAUAUCAGUAUAUGUACUCUUUGUAAACAAAGUCUCUAUUUGAACUGAUCAUGGUAUUCUUGGGAAAUCUGUUAUUUACUUGACGUUAGUGUGGUACGGUCAAUGUUCUUGUAUGCUCAUUUACCAUCCUUGCUUUAGGGUUUAUAACAGUACAAUGCUAGCCCUCUUGGUAGGGAGCGCUUUACUAGAUCCGAUUAGUUGAACAGCCAGUGGGUUUCAAAUAUCAGCCGCCUAAAAAAUGAAGGAAAAAAGAGUGCAGUGCUAAUCAAAUAUUGAGCCAUAUUAACCUAGUAAAGCUUAUUCCUUUACUCCAUUUGAUCAAGGCUCAAGUGAGCAUCACCAAUUCUAGGACAGGGGACAAAGUUACGGAUUGACCAAGGAAAAUAACUUGGAACGAGAAGGUUGACUAGCACAUCCAUUUGAUUAUUAAUUUUAUGGGGCGGGAAGGCCAACAAAUAUAACCUCAUGAAAUAGUCGCUCAAUAUGGCUCGGAAACUACAAUAAAAAUAAUAUGUGUAAUCUUGGCACCCCAAAUAACAGUAGAGGAAAAUUCGAGGGCUCUCCCUUAAACUUGAUCCGUCUUAUUCAAUCUAUCAAAUGGUAUAUGUAACUUUACAUCGCUGCUCUCCUUGAGAUAUUACCCCAUGGACGACCUAAAUACGUUGUAACAUUUGCCCCAACUAUGGAGUUGCUUUUAUGGUGCAAUUUGUAGCACCUUUACCUGAAGAGAGAGCCUGAGGAAAGAUCAACUUGAAUGGUGCUAAAAGCUGCACCAUACAAGCAAGUCUAUAGUUGGGGAAAGUGAGUAAGAAUGUUAGCGACAUAUUUAGGUCGACAAGGGGUAAUUCUCUUGGACAAUGGCAAUGUUGAGUUACAUCGACUAUCUGAUAGAUUGAAAAGAAUGUAUUUAGUUUAAUGGAGAGUCCUAAGUAAGUUCCUUGAAUUGUGUUAUAUUUUUCGAUAUUGUUGUUUAGGGCUGCCGAGAUUGCACCUGUUAUUGAGUUGAAGUUUCCCGAGCCAUCUUGUGCUACUAUGGCAGGAGGUGCUUGUGUUUGUUGGCAUUCUCCACAGCAUAAAAUUGUUAACCAAAUGACAGAGUAAUUAAAGACUUCCAGCUCGGGAAAGGAGGGGAACUUCUGCGACCUGAACUAAGGAAGGAAGAAGAAGGAAAAUCAGAGAUCAUUAUUAGUGAUUGCUAAAGGUGAAGCUAUUAUGAUACACUUAUAAAAAAUCAUUUUAGUUUGAAAAGACUACUCUCAUGAAUGGGCUCCAAUGCAAAUGCUGCGCCAACAUACCCCAAUGUGGCAUCACUAUUGCUUCCAAGG